UACGUAGGGUGCAAGCGUUAAUCGGAAUUACUGGGUGUAAAGCGUGCGCAGGCGGUGAUGUAAGACAGAUGUGAAAUCCCCGGGCUCAACCUGGGAACUGCAUUUGUGACUGCAUCGCUGGAGUACGGCAGAGGGGGAUGGAAUUCCGCGUGUAGCAGUGAAAUGCGUAGAUAUGCGGAGGAACACCGAUGGCGAAGGCAAUCCCCUGGGCCUGUACUGACGCUCAUGCACGAAAGCGUGGGGAGCAAACAGG
This 253-nucleotide ribosomal RNA is filed under the name uncultured bacterium. Its description in RNAcentral is "partial 16S ribosomal RNA". It matches the Rfam family "Bacterial small subunit ribosomal RNA", at positions 524 to 776 of the family's 1533-position model. The record is from RNAcentral.